GGCGGGGUGGCAGAGUGUUUAUGCCAUAAGAGGUGCAACUCUUAUGUAGGCCGGUUAAAAUCCGCGCCCCCGCCU
Molecule: non-coding RNA, 75 nt
Organism: Neisseria weaveri LMG 5135
Lineage: Bacteria; Pseudomonadati; Pseudomonadota; Betaproteobacteria; Neisseriales; Neisseriaceae
Source: Rfam